GUUAUUGGAUAUUUUGCAGUAGUAGAUGCUAAAACUUUUUGAUGUGCAAGUAAUACAGUCAGAGCAAGUAGUACAGGCACGUGUCGAUUAGUCAUUAUUCAUUCCAGGUAUUUGAAAUUCCGUAGGUUCGUCAUUAGAAAAUUCCAACAAUACAUCUUUAUCUAGGUAGUUAGCUUAUCACGUUCCUUUUGGCUUUGUUCAAUAAUUGUUACAAUCACUAACCACAUUUUUUGAAAUAUUGAUUACAAAACCUUUUUCGAUAAUAUGCUGUUUAACUAGUUGUUAUCCGUGCAAAUACAUUCUUCACUAACGAUAAUGGCAUUGGUUUUACUAUAUAAGCUCAAAAUAAAUAAUUUCUGUCAUAUUUACUACCUCGUUUCUACUGAAGAGUACUGAGAGAGUACAGUUUGACUUUAAAUCUAUAUUGUGUUCAUACAAGUGUUUAUUAGCAGUGUGUGAUUAAGAAGUGUCGUGUGAUAAACAAUGGAGAAUAUAUCGUACUCCCCUUGCAAUAGUCAAGAAAACAAUACAUAUAAGCAAUAUUACUUUCCUGCGAAUUUGGUAGAAGAAGAAACACAAAAUUUGCUCAUAGAUCAUGAAAUGCCAUCAAAGAAAAUGAAAAGGAAAUCUGAAAAUAUAGACAUUUUUUUCGAGUCAUCCCCAAAAAAUAAAAACAAAACUAGUUCAACAGUGGCUCGAGCUAACAAAGAUGGCAGUAUAUCGUAUAUAUCUACGAACUCCAACGAUGGUGCGACAGCCACACAUCUCAUUAAAUUAGAGGUGUAUGACCUAAAAAAACUAGCCAAAAUACCUCAGUCUCAACACUGGAAACAUGCUAAUGUAAAAAUCAAAUAUUAUACAGAAAAGGCUAAUGGAAAUUUUGCGAACACGAAUGAGAUAAUUUAUAAUAUUACAAAAGAAAUCGCAGAAACAGAGGGUUGUAAAAAAUACUCAUUUAAUAAUUAAUAACUUAAUCUAUCAUUAGUAAACUACCUCACAUAAAUACUUCACCAUAAUUUAAUUUGUGAGAUUAAUUCGACGUAACACUUAUACAAGCAGUAUAAAAACACAUUGUAAAUCCUAUAGUAAUGUCAGUAAGCCACCUGGUGCUGUUAAUGAAUAAGUCUCCCUCUGUAGUCUUAUAAACUGUCAGCAAUGGAAGAUACAAUUGACAGCUGUGUUAGCACAUUUUUCAACACUUCAAUUAAUGAUGAGGAACUCAUUGAGGCUUUAGAUUAUUUUGACUUACUGGAUCCAGCAUAUGACAAUGAAUUGUAUAAUAUAUGUGAAGCAAUUGAUUCAAUCAUCCCAACUAAACAAAAACUUCAAAUUGGUGGAGCUUUAAAGCGGUCCAAUGAUUUCACCGUGAACAACUCUGCGAAAAAAGUGAAAUAUAAUGAGGGAGCCUCAACUUCAUCUAUUCAACACUCAGAAAAUAACUCCACUACACCAUCUGCAUAUUCAGAAGGUAAUAAAGUGAAGUGUGAUAUUUGCAAUAUUUUUAUAACCAAAAGGUAUUUUUCUAAUCAUUUAAAAAGUAAUUUACAUAAAAAUAAUCAUUUAAAGUCGCACCCAUCAUUAUCGAAUGUUUCUGUAA
Maniola jurtina (meadow brown) is the source of this 1597-nucleotide long non-coding RNA. RefSeq lists it as uncharacterized. The record is from RefSeq and is a predicted model, not a curated record. NCBI's taxonomy places the organism in Eukaryota, Metazoa, Arthropoda, Insecta, Lepidoptera, Nymphalidae. The transcript is spliced from 3 exons.